GAUGAACGCUGGCGGCGCGCCUAACACAUGCAAGUCGAACGGUUACAGCACCUUUUAGGUGUGUCUAGAGUGGCGAACGGCUGAAUAACACGUUGGCAACCUGCCCUCCUCUUGGGGUUAGCCUUGGUAAACCGAGGUUUAUACCCGCUACUUCUAUGUCGCCGUAUGACGACCUUGCGAUAGCUUUUGCGGAGAAGGAUGUGCCCGCGGCCUGUUAGCUUGUUGGUGGGGUAGAGGCCGACCAAGGAAAUGAAGGGUAGCUGGGUUGAGAGACCGACCAGGCAGAUGGGGAAUGGGACAUGGGCCAGAGUCCUAAGGGAGGCAGGAGGGGGGAAUGUGGAACAAUGGGCGAAAGCCUGAAGCAGGGACGCGGCGUGCGGGGCGAAGGAUUUCGGGUUGUAAACCGCUAAGAGCAGGGACGAGGCGAGAAGUGAAGGGACCUGGAGAAAAAGGCCCCGGUAAAUACGGGG
This 470-nucleotide ribosomal RNA is filed under the name uncultured bacterium. RNAcentral's name for it is "partial 16S ribosomal RNA". It matches the Rfam family "Bacterial small subunit ribosomal RNA", at positions 28 to 508 of the family's 1533-position model. The record is from RNAcentral.